Molecule: long non-coding RNA, 3176 nt
Organism: Ananas comosus (pineapple)
Lineage: Eukaryota; Viridiplantae; Streptophyta; Magnoliopsida; Poales; Bromeliaceae
Exons: 2
Source: RefSeq, a predicted model, not a curated record
AAUAAAUACCACCUGCUUCUUUAACCCAGCUUAUUAAAACCAGCCCAUUACUUUCUAUUAAGGGAGUUGGAAGUAUAGCAGGAAGAGGCCAUCCAUGGAGUUGGAAGAAGAGCAGGAAGAGAACAAGAAGAAGGGCAGGAUUAUCUUGCUGGGUUGUUUUCCUAACCUUCCUCAAAGCUUGUUUUUGCUUUUUUUGGAAAGGCCCAUUGGUGUAUAGCAUGAACCAUAAAGAUGUAACAAAACUAAGCGAUUGUGAGUAUUAAUUUGUGACUGUCCACAAGGAGGAAUAUAUCAUUGCUAAGUGCACUCUACAACGUUGGAUUAUAUGGUGAGCUAAUUACACUAUGAUUGGACGAUAUUGGAUAUUGUGGGUAAUAGUUGGUUCUACAUUUUCUCUUGAAGGAUUUAUAUUUUGACGAUUCUUUAUGCCUGGAUUAUGGCUCUCGGAUAGUAUACAUGGUAUGUUCAAUUACUAUGGGAUGUAAAUAUAAAUUCACAGGCUUUUCAACUAUUCAUACAGAAAUUCGAGUUUUAAUUUGGUAAUGUAACACCCUCAACUGCACACCAAGGCUAAAAUUGAGUUGGAAAUAUUUGAAGGAUGUUUUACCUCUAAAAGGCAUCUAGCGGAGAUUGAUUUUAGUAAGUUUUGGUUCAAUCGAAAAUUAUUUUGAUAGUGAGUACAUAAUUUAUACUUAUUGCAGUACAUGCACUCAUUUUGGGAGUGAACCUGAUAUGGUUUUAAACAUCAAAAUGUGCUAUAUAUAUGUAGCUGGAGAGAUUGAGAUAUAGACGAAAAUGAGAAUCCUUUACAAAGUCUUGAAGUUAGAAUAUAACCUGCUAUUUAUCAAAAAUCUCGCAAAUGUAACUGUUGUUUAUAACUUCGAGUAGAGUCUUCUCCUUUUUUUUUUGCAAUAUUCUUCAAUCGAUAGUAAAGUAACUGUUCACUUUUAAUUGAGCAAGUCUAAUUGUGGAGGUUGAGGUCUCCUAUCUACUAUAAGAUAACACUAUCACUCUUGGCUUAGACUAUUGAUCAUAGUUGUUGAGGACAAAACUUUUGCUUUGUUGGUCAUGAUUUAAAGCCACUUGUUGCCUAGUUAUGUCACGUUAGGAUUUGCGUGAUAAAUGUUGGGUUGUAUUUAGGGGUGUAAAACAGGCUGGGUCCACAGGUUAUUUUGAUUUCAUACUAUUAUAGUGGCGUAUUGUAUAUAUUAGAAUCUAUGGGAAUUAAAUUGUGACUCUCUUAUAUAGAAGAAAGUGUCCGUACCAACUGUGUUAGCAGUCGGAGAUUUAUAAUAUGUUUAUUUGAGAUUUUAUUAUUAUUACUGUUCUUAGAAAAGACAAAUGUUUUUCUUAAGCUAGUUGAGAUAUAUCUACUUUCUUGUUAUGCUUUUUCUUCAAAUACUCUUGAGAAUAUGGUUGGCGUUAUUUUUUUUUCUUUUAUUAUAGAGAAUAGCUGAUUCCCCACUAUAAUUAGUCAUGAGACCAAAUAAGGCAAUAAAGUUGUCGAAGAUGCCACGAAUUUAGAUGAGUAUGGUAAACCAUUUAUUCAUUUCAAAAUUCAAUUUAGAAUUUGUUUGAAAUGUUUUACUAGAUAAGCAGUUAGAAGGAAUGAUUGUUCUUACAAAGAAGCAUCAUGUAUUGUUUUCUUGGCUGACAAUUAUGCUUAUGAAUAUUUUCAAUUGCUAGCACAGUUGGUAGGGAUAUUUUUUUUCGUGAUGGAAAAUUUGCAAUUUGAUUUCUAAGAUGUCGUAGAUUAUAGUAUGAGAUAGCCUAGUAGAAAGGGAAAAGAUAUUGAGCUACACGAAUGAGUCGUUCGUGUUGUUUUCUUUGAUGUUUAUGGCUACAAUUGUGAAAUCAUUACAUAACCUAAAGCUGAAAGGAGCAAUCAUAAUAUAAAUGGCUAGUUGAAAAACUAUUGGAUUUUUUGUUGGUUUUAUAAAUGUUUCAUCCUUCUCAUUAAAUCUAAUUAGAGUUGUUGGUUGCGAGUGUUUCUGCUCAAGUUGUGCUAUAAAAUACUUAGACCUUGUCUGGGAAUGCUUUGAGUACAGUAGCCACUUUCAAUGCUUUAGAGCUAUACCCCACCCAAAAAAAAAAGAAGAAAAGCAAUAGUGUUUUGGAGCUUCACUGUUCCCUUGUGCUUCAAGGUAAACAAGUGUGGUAGGAAGCUGCAAUUGAGGAAGCAUAUGACGUUUACGGAGCCCUAAAGCGCUUUAGUAUUCUGUGGGGACCUAAAGCACUCAAAAGCGGCAGGUGUAGACGAAGCAUUUCCAAAUUAGGCCUUAGGUUGGACGUUAAGCACACGCUUGUAUAAUAGAUGAUACAUCUUGCAAUUUCAUCUUCCAACUGGUAUGCUAGAUUGCGACGACCUUUCUGUAUUCGCCAAUAAUGCAUUUAAUCCUCACUAUUACUAAGUUUUUUGAUGUCACAGGGAGAAAAAUUCCGAUUAUUCUCUUAUUUGAAGCAUAAUUUCAUGUCAUACCUCUUCUUGAAGGUGUGUGGACUGCAAAAAUUUCAGUACAGGAAGAUCACUUCAACGAGUGCGCAACUUUUUUUUUCGUUCUUUCAAUAAAAUCUGGUUUCAGAAAACAAUUACAGCAUCAUGCUCUGAAUGAUAUGAUGUCUCAUUUUGGCGAAGCUGCAGUGGUUCCAAAUUUUGCAACUCAUUUUACUGAUUUCUGAAGUUCGAACUGCAUUCUCCGGUUAAUGUACAUCCUGCAAAUCUGAUGCUGACAGUUUUGGAAAUGCUGUUAUAAGAAAACAGAUUUGAGUUUGGAGGAAUCCGAAAACGGUGUCUACUUCCUGCUGCCCUUCUUGGAUCUACUUUCGGAUUAUGCGAAGGAAGUAUCUCAGGACAGAAGAAAAUCUUUCUUCUAGUGUAAGUUCAUAAUGACCGAGUUAUCGAUGAGUUGAUCCUUUUUCGACAGUGAUAAAAUUGUGUGAGAUUAUUUUACUCAGCAAUGACCAGUUUAAGUAUCCUUUUGAGUCACAGCAUUGUAGUGUGAUCUUUGCUUGCUUUUGUAUCCUGUGAAUGUUACACUCUUGUUUAUGUUCUUGCUUCUUUUAGGCUAAAUUACACUCUUGGUCCUCAAACUAUGAGACGCCUUGACACUUUGGCCGUUAAAUUUUAAUUUGUUAUAAUUUUUAUUCGAACUUUGGUCUUCAAUAAUUUACUUGAC